AAUAUUGGACAAUGGGUGAGAGCCCGAUCUAGCCAUCCCGCGUGCAGGAAGAAUGCCUUAUGGGUUGUAAACUGCUUUUAUACAGGACUAAACCACUUUACGUGUAAGGUGUUGAUGCUACUGUAUGAAUAAGCUUCGUCUAACUCCGUGCCAUCAGCCGCGGUAAUACGGAGGAUGCAAGCGUUAUCCGGAUUUAUUGGGUUUAAAGGGUCCAUAGGCGAGCAUAUAAGUCAGAGGUGAAAGCCGACAGCUUAACUGUCGAACUGCCUUUGAAACUGUAUGUCUUGAGUGCGAUUGAAGCAUCUGGAAUGUGUAGUGUAGCGGUGAAAUGCAUAGAUAUUACACAGAACACCGAUAGCGUAGGCAGGUUGCUAAGUCUUUACUGACGCUGAUGGACGAAAGCGUGGGGAGCAAAC
This 416-nucleotide ribosomal RNA is filed under the name uncultured bacterium. RNAcentral's name for it is "partial 16S ribosomal RNA". It matches the Rfam family "Bacterial small subunit ribosomal RNA", at positions 360 to 773 of the family's 1533-position model. The record is from RNAcentral.